GUGCUUGCUUCAGCAUCACAUAUACUAAAAUUCAAACAAUACAAGAUUAGCAUGGCCCCUGUGCUAGGAUGAAAUGAAAAUUCAUGAUAUGUUCCAUAUUUUU
This is a small nuclear RNA of Perognathus longimembris pacificus (Pacific pocket mouse), 103 nucleotides long. NCBI's taxonomy places the organism in Eukaryota, Metazoa, Chordata, Mammalia, Rodentia, Heteromyidae. The record is from RefSeq and is a predicted model, not a curated record.